RNAcentral lists this ribosomal RNA (253 nucleotides) under uncultured prokaryote. RNAcentral describes it as "partial 16S ribosomal RNA". It matches the Rfam family "Bacterial small subunit ribosomal RNA", at positions 524 to 776 of the family's 1533-position model. The record is from RNAcentral.
UACGUAGGUGGCGAGCGUUGUCCGGAAUUACUGGGUGUAAAGGGCGUGUAGGCGGGAGAGUAAGUCAGAUGUGAAAUUCCUAGGCUUAACCUGGGCACUGCAUCUGAAACUAUUUUUCUUGAGUGCUGGAGAGGAAAGCGGAAUUCCUAGUGUAGCGGUGAAAUGCGUAGAUAUUAGGAGGAACACCAGUGGCGAAGGCGGCUUUCUGGACAGUAACUGACGCUGAGGCGCGAAAGCGUGGGGAGCAAACGGG